RNAcentral lists this unclassified non-coding RNA (253 nucleotides) under Hevea brasiliensis (rubber tree). The record is from RNAcentral. Lineage: Eukaryota; Viridiplantae; Streptophyta; Magnoliopsida; Malpighiales; Euphorbiaceae.
AAGAAGCCUCCCUUGGUCCAUCUGCGACUUGGGUACUUCAUGGAGAUCGGCAGGAUUGGAAGGAUUUGGCAGGUUUCUUUUCUUUAUAGCAGCAACAAGAACCUGCAACAUAGGGGUCAAGGGGCUGCCCGUUGGCACCCUAUAACGGUAAAAUGGCCUUCCUACAAUGAAGAUGACUAGCGUGAGAGCCAUAACUGCGGUGAGGAUAAUAUCUGCAACACCCCAGCUGAUAUGGUCCUGUACAUAAACAAUU